GGUCGCUUAGCUCAGCUGGGAGAGCACCUCCCUUACAAGGAGGGGGUCACUGGUUCGAUCCCAGUAGCGACCA
Molecule: non-coding RNA, 73 nt
Organism: Aeromonas sp.
Lineage: Bacteria; Pseudomonadati; Pseudomonadota; Gammaproteobacteria; Aeromonadales; Aeromonadaceae
Source: Rfam